This 327-nucleotide unclassified non-coding RNA is filed under the name soil metagenome. RNAcentral describes it as "partial contains 5.8S ribosomal RNA, internal transcribed spacer 2, and large subunit ribosomal RNA". The stretch from base 1 to 120 matches the Rfam family "5.8S ribosomal RNA", at positions 35 to 154 of the family's 154-position model. The record is from RNAcentral.
GAUGAAGAACGUAGCGAAAUGCGAUAAGUAGUGUGAAUUGCAGAAUUCAGUGAAUCAUCGAAUCUUUGAACGCACAUUGCGCCCCUUGGUAUCCCGAGGGGCAUGCCUGUUCGAGCGUCAUUUCACCACUCAAGCCUGGCUUGGUGUUGGGCGACGUCCCCUUUAGGGACGCGCCUCGAAACGCUCGGCGGCGUGGCACCGGCUUUAAGCGUAGCAGAAUCUUUCGCUUUGGAAGUCGGGGCCCCGCCUGCCGGAAUACCUACUCGUAAGGUUGACCUCGGAUCAGGCAGGGAUACCCGCUGAACUUAAGCAUAUCAAAGCGGAGGA